This 301-nucleotide long non-coding RNA is filed under the name Numida meleagris (helmeted guineafowl). RNAcentral's name for it is "lncRNA (ENSNMEG00000005776.1)". The record is from RNAcentral. Lineage: Eukaryota; Metazoa; Chordata; Aves; Galliformes; Numididae.
GUACAGCACUUUCAGAUCUUUCCUGUAUCUUCCAUUCUUCCUAUCAUGAUCUUGGAAAAUGGAAGACAGCAUGAGGAAUAAGAGAAAGCAGGAUGGAGUGAGACACAAAUUGGGACACAUAUAUAGGUUAUGGACGCAGCUAAUCUCCAGCCUGUUCUCAGUGAACCAGGAUAGAUCCCCUCCUUUCUCUUCUUGUUGUCUGCUUGAAAAAGUUGAAUCACAAGUUUGUAAGCGCAGAAGAAAAAAUAAAAUACUGCCUCUAGAGCUCUCAUCAAAAGCUUGCUUUCAACAAAUAUUCUAA